Molecule: ribosomal RNA, 119 nt
Filed under: Betta splendens (Siamese fighting fish)
Lineage: Eukaryota; Metazoa; Chordata; Actinopteri; Anabantiformes; Osphronemidae
Source: RNAcentral
GCUUACGGCCAUACCACCCUGAGCAAGCCCGAUCUCGUCUGAUCUCGGAAGCUAAGCAGGGUCGGGCCUGGUUAGUACUUGGAUGGGACACCGCCUGGGAAUACCAGGUGCUGUAAGCU